GACUAACGCUGGCGGCGUGCCUAAUACAUGCAAGUCGAACGGGAUUCUUUGAUCAGCUUGCUGAGAGAAGGAUCUAGUGGCGGACGGGUGAGUAACGCGUGGGAAUCUGCCUCUUACUGGGGGAUAACAGUGGGAAACUACUGCUAAUACCGCAUAAGAUCUUCGGAUGAAAGGUGCAACUGCACCGGUAAGAGAUGAGCCCGCGUCCCAUUAGCUAGUUGGUGAGGUAAAGGCUCACCAAGGCGACGAUGGGUAGCCGGCCUGAGAGGGUGAACGGCCACACUGGGACUGAGACACGGCCCAGACUCCUACGGGAGGCAGCAGUAGGGAAUCUUAGGCAAUGGACGAAAGUCUGACCUAGCGACGCCGCGUGAGGGAAGAAGGCCUUCGGGUUGUAAACCUCUGUCAUGGGGAAGGAAGUAAGUGACGGUACCCCAACGAGGAAGACCCCUGCUAACUACGUCG
This 465-nucleotide ribosomal RNA is filed under the name uncultured bacterium. RNAcentral describes it as "bacterial SSU rRNA". It matches the Rfam family "Bacterial small subunit ribosomal RNA", at positions 28 to 508 of the family's 1533-position model. The record is from RNAcentral.